GAAAAUUUUAAUUUUUUUAUUUUUCAAAAUUUGAAAUCUUAUCCCCAAACCCUUAUCCCCUAAACCCUAAUCCCUAAACCCUAAACUCUAAACCCUAAACUCUAAACCCUAAACCCUAAACCCUAAAUUCUAAAUUCUAAACCCUAAACCCUGAACCCUAAACCCUAAACCCUAAACCCUAAUCUCUAAACUCUAAACCAUAAACCCUAAAUCCUAAACCCUAAAUCCUAAAUCCUAAAUCCUAAACCCUAAAUCCUAAACCCUAAAUCCUAAACCCCACCCU
RNAcentral lists this long non-coding RNA (283 nucleotides) under Brassica napus (rape). RNAcentral's name for it is "long non-coding RNA (BNAP_LNC018744)". Lineage: Eukaryota; Viridiplantae; Streptophyta; Magnoliopsida; Brassicales; Brassicaceae. The record is from RNAcentral.